CACAGAGCUCCCAUAGCUCCCAAGCGCACUGUGGGGUCCUGACAUGAAGUUCAGGCUUAGUAAGAGGACCAGCAGCACGCACUCCGCACUUCGGAGCAGUCCUCAGCAAUGUGUGGCCCCGCCCUUCACCGCUCCCAUCUGUCAAGAGAUGUGUGAACCGGCAUUCUGGGACCCAAGUUCCCUUCGGCCUUCAUCCUUUCUUUCUCUCAGCAUGACAAUUUUGGGGGAUUCCAAUUUCCUGGGGGGGGUGUCAUCAUUUCACUAUGUUAGAUAGGGGUGAGGUGGGGUAGAAAUGUCUAGAAGAGCUUCACCGUCA
Molecule: long non-coding RNA, 316 nt
Filed under: Rattus norvegicus (Norway rat)
Lineage: Eukaryota; Metazoa; Chordata; Mammalia; Rodentia; Muridae
Description: long non-coding RNA NONRATT010186
Source: RNAcentral